AGUAGGUCUGUCUGUGUGUGUGUCAGUAUGUCUGUGUGUAUGCCAGUAUGUCUGUGUGUGUGUGUGUGUGUCAGUAUGUCUGUGUGUAUGCCAGUAUGUCUCUGUGUGUGUGUCAGUAUUUCUGCGUGUGUGUGUCAGUAUGUCUGUGUGUAUGCCAGUAUGUCUGUGUGCGUAUGCCAGUAUGUCUGUGUGUGUGUGUCAGUAUGUCUGUGUGUAUGCCAGUAUGUCUGUGUGUGUGUGUCAGUAUGUCUGUGUGUAUGCCAGUAUGUCUGUGUAUGUGUGUGUCAGUAUGUCUGUGUGUAUGCCAGUAUGUCUGUGUGUGUCAGUAUGUCUGUGUGUGUGUAUGUAGGUAUGUCUCUGUGUGUGUGUGUACGUGUGUGUCAGUAUGUCUGCCAGGAUAUAUUUGUGUGUCAGUGUAUGUGUGUGUCAGUAUGUAUCUGUGAAUGUUUUAAUGUCUGUCUGUGUGUAUGUGCCAGUACGUCUGU
This is a non-coding RNA of Pelobates cultripes (western spadefoot toad), 485 nucleotides long. The record is from the annotation of a GenBank genome assembly. NCBI's taxonomy places the organism in Eukaryota, Metazoa, Chordata, Amphibia, Anura, Pelobatidae.